RNAcentral lists this ribosomal RNA (253 nucleotides) under uncultured bacterium. RNAcentral describes it as "partial 16S ribosomal RNA". It matches the Rfam family "Bacterial small subunit ribosomal RNA", at positions 524 to 776 of the family's 1533-position model. The record is from RNAcentral.
UACGUAGGGACCAAGCGUUGUCCGGAAUCAUUGGGCGUAAAGAGCGUGUAGGCGGCUUGUUAAGUCUUGCGUGAAAUCUCGGGGCUCAACCCCGAGCGGUCGUGAGAAACUGGCAGGCUAGAGUGCGGGAGAGGAGAGUGGAAUUCCUGGUGUAGCGGUGAAAUGCGCAGAUAUCAGGAAGAACACCGGUGGCGAAGGCGGUGAGCUGGGCAGUUGCUGACACUGAGGCGCGACAGCGUGGGGAGCAAACAGG